This 336-nucleotide ribosomal RNA is filed under the name uncultured bacterium. RNAcentral's name for it is "partial 16S ribosomal RNA". It matches the Rfam family "Bacterial small subunit ribosomal RNA", at positions 338 to 666 of the family's 1533-position model. The record is from RNAcentral.
CCUACGGGUGGCAGCAGUAGGGAAUCUUCCACAAUGGGCGAAAGCCUGAUGCAGCAACGCCGCGUGGGUGAAGAAGGUCUUCGGAUCGUAAAACCCCGUUGUUCGAGAAGAAAGUGCGUGAGCGUAACUGUUCACGUUUCGACGGUAUCUAACCAGAAAGCCAAGGCUAACUACGUGCCACCAGCCGAGGUAAUACGUAGGUGGCAAGCGGUGUCCUGAUUUAUUUGGCGUGAAGGGAACGCAGGCGGUCUUUUAAGUCUGAUGGGAAAGCCUUCGGCUUAACCGGAGUAGUGCAGUUGAAACUGGGGGACUUGAGUGCGGGAGAGGAGAGUGGAA